This is a non-coding RNA of Chelonoidis abingdonii (Abingdon island giant tortoise), 483 nucleotides long. The record is from RefSeq and is a predicted model, not a curated record. Lineage: Eukaryota; Metazoa; Chordata; Testudines; Testudinidae.
CUUCAGAGGCCUCUGGACUCAGCAAACAGCCUGAAUAUUGAAACAGUAAGGACCAAGCCUCACUCUGUUCUUGCAAUAUGUUUGGAAAGUAACAUCUGAUCCCAGAGUAAUGUUCCUUCCCUCCUUGAACCCCACAGAGAAGUUCCAUAGAGGUUGGACGAUCCACAUCUAGAGAAGAAUUUUUGGGGGACAGAGAUGGGAUAUGUGCUGAGAAAAUUUGCUGAAAAUGAGUUUUGUGGAGUUCCCUGCUAUUAUGGACCCUCAGAAGUGCAACUAGCUUCCCUUUGGUCUCCUUACUUGACCAAUGGUGCGCUGUAAGGAACCUCUGUGAUUUCAUCUGUUACAUGAUUCUGAGGGUCACAUUUCCCUUCUUGUUAUGGCAAGUGGAGAGUAACCACACCCAGCAGAAUUUGCUAUUGGAGUUUAGAAGCAGGGUAAUCCUAUCACCAUGUCCAAUGGAUUCUUCUCUGAAAUCCCACAGCA